AUACAGAGGGUGCGAGCGUUAAUCGGAAUUACUGGGCGUAAAGCGCGCGUAGGCGGCUUGUUAAGUCAGAUGUGAAAUCCCCGGGCUCAACCUGGGAACUGCAUCUGAUACUGGUAAGCUAGAGUUUGGGAGAGGGAAGUAGAAUUUCAGGUGUAGCGGCGAAAUGCAUAGAGAUCUGAAGGAAUACCAGUGGCGAAGGCGACUUCCUGGCCUAAAACUGACGCUGAGGUGCGAAAGCGUGGGUAGCAAACGGGAUUAGAAACCCCUGUAGUCC
RNAcentral lists this ribosomal RNA (274 nucleotides) under uncultured bacterium. RNAcentral's name for it is "partial 16S ribosomal RNA". It matches the Rfam family "Bacterial small subunit ribosomal RNA", at positions 523 to 796 of the family's 1533-position model. The record is from RNAcentral.